Molecule: ribosomal RNA, 588 nt
Filed under: uncultured bacterium
Lineage: Bacteria
Description: partial 16S ribosomal RNA
Rfam family: Bacterial small subunit ribosomal RNA
Source: RNAcentral
UGGGGAAUUUUGGACAAUGGGGGAAACCCGUGAUCCAGCCAUCCCGCGUGUGCGAUGAAGGCCUUCGGGUUGUAAAGCACUUUUGGCAGGAAAGAAACGUCGCGGGUUAAUACCCCGCGAACAUGACGGUACCUGCAGAAUAAGCACCGGCUAACUACGUGCCAGCAGCCGCGGUAAUACGUAGGGUGCAAGCGUUAAUCGGAAUUACUGGGCGUAAAGCGCACGCAGGCGGUUUGUUAAGUCAGAUGUGAAAUCCCCGGGCUCAACCUGGGAACUGCAUUUGAAACUGGCAAGCUAGAGUCUCGUAGAGGGGGGUAGAAUUCCAGGUGGUAGCGGUGAAAUGCGUAGAGAUCUGGAGGAAUACCGGUGGCGAAGGCAGCCUCCUGGGAUAACACUGACGCUCAUGCACGAAAGCGUGGGGAGCAAACAGGAUUAGAUACCCUGGUAGUCCACGCCCUAAACGAUGUCAACUAGCUGUUGGGGGCCUUCGGGCCUUGGUAGCGCAGCUAACGCGUGAAGUUGACCGCCUGGGGAGUACGGUCGCAAGNUUAAAACUCAAAUGAUUGACGGGGUCAUAGCUGUUUCCUG